AUCAGGUGCUCCUUGAUUCUGAUUGGAGCUCCAUGUGUGUGAAGGAUGAUGAAGCCCUUUGUCUGGAUUCAAGAACCUAUGGAAACAUUGCUAGGUUCAUCAACCAUAGAUGUUAUGAUGCCAAUUUAAUUGAGAUCCCAAUUGAGGUGGAGACCCAAAGCAUCACUACUAUCGUCUCGCAUUAUUUACUGCUAGAAAAAUACAGGCCUUGGAAGAGCUGACAUGGGAUUAUGGUAUUGAGUUUGACGACCAUGAUAAUUCUCUCAAUCCAUUCCAGUGUAUAUGUGGCAGUAAGUUCUGUCGAAACGUAAAACGCUCGAAAAGUAAGUCUCUCUCUCUCUCUCUCUCUCUCACAGAGGAUAAUGAAGAUCUAAUAAAGGAUAAACCCUACCUAUAGAAUCAGCAUUCCUUGUCCUAAAGGAACAUCUAAGUAUAGAGCCCCCCAAAUAGGUAUACAAAAUGUAAUUUCUGGUGAUAAUACGAGCAACAACUAAUGUUCUACUUACCAAUGGUUAUUCU
Molecule: long non-coding RNA, 519 nt
Organism: Rhodamnia argentea
Lineage: Eukaryota; Viridiplantae; Streptophyta; Magnoliopsida; Myrtales; Myrtaceae
Exons: 4
Source: RefSeq, a predicted model, not a curated record